GUACAACUUUCAGCAACGGAUCUCUUGGCUCUCGCAUCGAUGAAGAACGCAGCGAAAUGCGAUAAGUAAUGUGAAUUGCAGAAUUCAGUGAAUCAUCGAAUCUUUGAACGCACCUUGCGCCCUUUGGUAUUCCGAAGGGCAUGCCUGUUUGAGUGUCAUUAAA
RNAcentral lists this ribosomal RNA (163 nucleotides) under Campanella sp. MCA1689. Its description in RNAcentral is "5.8S ribosomal RNA". It matches the Rfam family "5.8S ribosomal RNA". From Rfam's summary of the family: 5.8S ribosomal RNA (5.8S rRNA) is a component of the large subunit of the eukaryotic ribosome. It is transcribed by RNA polymerase I as part of the 45S precursor that also contains 18S and 28S rRNA. The record is from RNAcentral. Lineage: Eukaryota; Fungi; Basidiomycota; Agaricomycetes; Agaricales; Campanellaceae.